This 564-nucleotide ribosomal RNA is filed under the name uncultured bacterium. RNAcentral describes it as "bacterial SSU rRNA". It matches the Rfam family "Bacterial small subunit ribosomal RNA", at positions 338 to 916 of the family's 1533-position model. The record is from RNAcentral.
CCUACGGGAGGCAGCAGUGGGGAAUCUUGCGCAAUGGGCGAAAGCCUGACGCAGCCAUGCCGCGUGAAUGAUGAAGGUCUUAGGAUUGUAAAAUUCUUUCACCGGGGACGAUAAUGACGGUACCCGGAGAAGAAGCCCCGGCUAACUUCGUGCCAGCAGCCGCGGUAAUACGAAGGGGGCUAGCGUUGCUCGGAAUUACUGGGCGUAAAGGGAGCGUAGGCGGAUAGUUUAGUCAGAGGUGAAAGCCCAGGGCUCAACCUUGGAAUUGCCUUUGAUACUGGCUAUCUUGAGUACGGAAGAGGUAUGUGGAACUCCGAGUGUAGAGGUGAAAUUCGUAGAUAUUCGGAAGAACACCAGUGGCGAAGGCGACAUACUGGUCCGUUACUGACGCUGAGGCUCGAAAGCGUGGGGAGCAAACAGGAUUAGAUACCCUGGUAGUCCACGCUGUAAACGAUGAGUGCUAGUUGUCGGCAUGCAUGCAUGUCGGUGACGCAGCUAACGCAUUAAGCACUCCGCCUGGGGAGUACGGUCGCAAGAAUUAAAACUCAAAAUUGAAAUUGACGG